AGCAAACUCCCAUGUCCCCCAGUGCUCGGAGAGUAUGAGCUCUGGGUCAGUUAGCCUGGCUGGUUAUUUCGGGUUAAUGAGACCGUCCUUUUCAGUUUCACCCCGAUCUGUGACAAUCUCGCACAAACAUCUGUCGCCUCCUCUGGGCUCCGCUCCGCCCUUUUACCGCAAACCCAAGCGUGUCUCCCUGAGGCUUAGGAGGUACCAGGAUUCACCCGAGUCUUCUGAGGGUGGCACUUGGGUUAGGGAACAAUUUACUCAUGACGAAGACAGAGAUCAGAGGCAGGUCGUUCAGAUCCUUCCUGUGCUGAUGAUCUCCAUGUCACCCUUCAGAGCAGUAAGGAGAAGAAAAAUGAGCUCGCUUGCUUUGAGUAUGAGAUCAUGGGUCAGAGGCGUAAAGUGACUUGUUCAAAGUCACCCAGCAGUGUGACUCCAGUGCCUGAGUGGGAGUGGGUCAUCAUGAUGAUUCAGCCUCUCCAAGGGAACCAAUCUUUCCAAACCGUCUGGUGGAGAACAGAUGGCACAGCACCCAGGAGUCCCCGAGCUGCCCAGCCUCAAAGAUGCUCCAUGUAUGUACAUGGGUGGGAGGCCUUGAGGUGCCAGAGCAGUGGGGUGUGUGACCUUGGAUAAGUCAUGUCUAUCUCUUUGGGUGGUUGGGUUUGAAGCUCUGUAAACCCUCUUCCCAGUCUUGUCACAGAGAGGCUCUCAGAGUCUGUGGUAGCAAAUAUCCCUUUAGGUUGCGGCUCCUGUUUGCAAAGCAUGUUACAGAUGCCUUAAUUAAUUAUUCAGGCUGACAUCUCCACCUCCAAAAUCAGAGGGUUGAGAAAAGAUCAUAGGAAUACAAUGAAUGUGAACUUGGCUGAUAAUGGCUGGUCCCAGGGUGGUGAGAAGAGAAGAAAACCCUCCAAAUUGGUCUUCCCUUACACUUUGGCCCCGCUUCCGCCAACGGCCAAGAUAAAACUGUCCUCCUUCAAUAAUUAAUGAGCAGGAUCCUGCGCUCCUGGCCUGGAUCCCCCGAAGGAGACCCCUUG
RNAcentral lists this long non-coding RNA (1031 nucleotides) under Homo sapiens (human). RNAcentral describes it as "HSALNT0005228". The record is from RNAcentral. Lineage: Eukaryota; Metazoa; Chordata; Mammalia; Primates; Hominidae.